UGGGGAAUAUUGGACAAUGGGCGAAAGCCUGAUCCAGCGACGCCGCGUGGGUGAAGAAGGCCUGCGGGUUGUAAAGCCCUUUCAGUGGGGAAGAAAAGCCUCGAGCUAAUAUCUCGGGGUCUUGACGUAACCCAUAGAAGAAGCACCGGCUAACUCUGUGCCAGCAGCCGCGGUAAUACAGAGGGUGCGAGCGUUAAUCGGAAUUACUGGGCGUAAAGCGCGCGUAGGCGGCUUUGCAAGUCGGAUGUGAAAUCCCCGGGCUUAACCUGGGAACUGCAUUCGAGACUGCAUUGCUAGAGUAUGGGAGAGGGAAGUGGAAUUUCAGGUGUAGCGGUGAAAUGCGUAGAUAUCUGAAGGAACAUCAGUGGCGAAAGCGACUUCCUGGACCAAUACUGACGCUCAUGUGCGAAAGCGUGGGGAGCAAACAG
This 428-nucleotide ribosomal RNA is filed under the name uncultured organism. RNAcentral's name for it is "bacterial SSU rRNA". It matches the Rfam family "Bacterial small subunit ribosomal RNA", at positions 355 to 775 of the family's 1533-position model. The record is from RNAcentral.